GUCCAGACUCCUACGGGAGGCAGCAGUGGGGAAUUUUGGACAAUGGGCGCAAGCCUGAUCCAGCUAUUCCGCGUGUGGGAUGACGGCCCUCGGGUUGUAAACCACUUUAGUAGAGAACGAAAAGGAGCUAUCGAAUAAAUAGCUCUGCUGACGGUACUCUAAGAAUAAGCACCGGCUAACUACGUGCCAGCAGCCGCGGUAAUACGUAGGGUGCGAGCGUUAUCCGGAUUUAUUGGGUUUAAAGGGUGCGUCGGCGGGAUGCCAAGUCAGCGGUAAAAAUGCGGUGCUCAACGCCGUCGAGCCGUUGAAACUGGCGUUCUUGAGUGGGCGAGAAGUAUGCGGAAUGCGUGGUGUAGCGGUGAAAUGCAUAGAUAUCACGCAGAACUCCGAUUGCGAAGGCAGCAUACCGGCGCCCUACUGACGCUGAGGCACGAAAGCGUGGGUAUCGAACAGGAUUAGAUACCCCCGUA
RNAcentral lists this ribosomal RNA (470 nucleotides) under uncultured bacterium. RNAcentral describes it as "bacterial SSU rRNA". It matches the Rfam family "Bacterial small subunit ribosomal RNA", at positions 329 to 792 of the family's 1533-position model. The record is from RNAcentral.